RNAcentral lists this unclassified non-coding RNA (386 nucleotides) under plant metagenome. RNAcentral's name for it is "partial contains 5.8S ribosomal RNA, internal transcribed spacer 2, and large subunit ribosomal RNA". The record is from RNAcentral.
UUUGAGUACUUCGGCCCGAAAGCGGUAACGUUUGGUGAAGUGAAGCAGAACAUCCUGGCCUAUCCAAAUCCAUUCAAGUCUGAGGUGAACCUGGAUAUUGAUGUGGAAGAAGAUGCAGAGGUGGUGAUCACGGUGGCAAACUCAAUUGGUAAGGAAGUGUUCAGGCAGACGAUCCGGGUAGCCAAAGGCAGAAACACCGAGCAGCUGCAACUGGAUCCGAAGUUACCAAGAGGUGUGUACUUUAUAACCACACAAAUGAAUGGUCAGUCCAACAACUUCAAACUGUUGAAACAAUAAAUAUUAAAGAUAACUAUUAGGGUUUAAAGCUGAAAGCGGCGGGUAUUUUACCCGUCGCUUUUGCUUUGUGGCUACUUUAGUCAUUGAUG